RNAcentral lists this ribosomal RNA (253 nucleotides) under uncultured bacterium. RNAcentral describes it as "partial 16S ribosomal RNA". It matches the Rfam family "Bacterial small subunit ribosomal RNA", at positions 524 to 776 of the family's 1533-position model. The record is from RNAcentral.
UACGAAGGGGGCUAGCGUUGCUCGGAAUUACUGGGCGUAAAGCGCACGUAGGCGGCUUUCUAAGUCGGGGGUGAAAUCCUGGAGCUCAACUCCAGAACUGCCUUCGAUACUGGAAAGCUCGAGUCCGGGAGAGGUGAGUGGAACUGCGAGUGUAGAGGUGAAAUUCGUAGAUAUUCGGAAGAACACCAGUGGCGAAGGCGACUUACUGGACGACUGUUGACGCUGAGGUGCGAAAGCGUGGGGAGCAAACAGG